AGGUGGUGCAUGGUUGUCGUCAGCUCGGUGUCGUGAGAUGUUGGGUUAAGUCCCGCAACGAGCGCAACCCUUGCCAUUAGUUGCUACGAAAGGGCACUCUAAUGGGACUGCCGGUGACAAACCGGAGGAAGGUGGGGAUGACGUCAAGUCCUCAUGGCCCUUAUAGGUGGGGCUACACACGUCAUACAAUGGCCGGUACAGAGGGUAGCCAACCCGCAGGGGGAGCCAAUCCCACAAAGCCGGUCGUAGUCCGGAUCGCAGUCUGCAACUCGACUGCGUGAAGUCGGAAUCGCUAGUAAUCGCGGAUCAGCAUGUCACGGUGAAUACGUUCCCGGGUCUU
Molecule: ribosomal RNA, 340 nt
Filed under: uncultured Allobrachymonas sp.
Lineage: Bacteria; Pseudomonadati; Pseudomonadota; Betaproteobacteria; Burkholderiales; Comamonadaceae
Description: bacterial SSU rRNA
Rfam family: Bacterial small subunit ribosomal RNA
Source: RNAcentral